Vicia faba (fava bean) is the source of this 228-nucleotide non-coding RNA. Lineage: Eukaryota; Viridiplantae; Streptophyta; Magnoliopsida; Fabales; Fabaceae. The record is from the annotation of a GenBank genome assembly.
AUGAUCUAUGGAGGGGAUACUGCUUACUCAAUAUGGAAAAUAGUCCAUGACAAUCUGUUGCCUAACACAGAAGACAGUGAGGCUCAGUUGAAAAAUAACUUAUACGGCCUAUCAAAGGGAAAUUUGUUCUUGGAUGUUUAUCUUGAGGGAGAAAAGCCAUCUCUUGAUAACAGAAAUGGAUCUUCUGCUGCGUUUUUUCUGCUUCCAUCUCUCCAGCUCAAUUCAUGA